Molecule: long non-coding RNA, 273 nt
Filed under: Manihot esculenta (cassava)
Lineage: Eukaryota; Viridiplantae; Streptophyta; Magnoliopsida; Malpighiales; Euphorbiaceae
Description: long non-coding RNA (MESC_LNC004757)
Source: RNAcentral
AGAAAACUAGGGUCAAGCACAAUACUAAUCCAUUAAACAUUACAUGUCCACAACUAUUCUAUUACAUCAGCUACACCAGCCACUAAGCUGACUCCCCGUGCUAUCUCUGAUCCUGUAAACCUGGGGUUAAGGGAAAGGGAUAAACUACUAGAGUCUAGUGAGCAGAACCACAAAAACAGUUUAAUAAACAUAUGAUCAUAUAAAAUGCGUCACAGCACAAACAAAUCACAACAAGAUGGACUUGUCACCAGUAACCCUCUACAUAUUCCAAAU